Molecule: ribosomal RNA, 459 nt
Filed under: uncultured Alkaliphilus sp.
Lineage: Bacteria; Bacillati; Bacillota; Clostridia; Peptostreptococcales; Natronincolaceae
Description: bacterial SSU rRNA
Rfam family: Bacterial small subunit ribosomal RNA
Source: RNAcentral
GUGCCAGCAGCCGCGGUAAUACGUAGGGGGCAAGCGUUAUCCGGAAUCAUUGGGCGUAAAGGAUGCGUAGGCUGCCCUAUAGGUCAGAGGUCAAAGGCUACGGCUCAACCGUAGUAAGCCUUUGAAACUGUAGGGCUUGAGUGCAGGAGAGGAGAGUGGAAUUCCUAGUGUAGCGGUGAAAUGCGUAGAUAUUAGGAGGAACACCAGUGGCGAAGGCGACUCUCUGGACUGCAACUGACGCUGAGGCACGAAAGCGUGGGUAGCGAACAGGAUUAGAUACCCUGGUAGUCCACGCCGUAAACGAUGAGUGCCAGGUGUUGGGGUGCGACCUACGUGCGCAGAUAUACGCAUUAAGCACUCCGCCUGGGGAGUACGUACGNAAGUAUGAAACUCAAAGGAAUUGACGGGGACCGCACAAGCAGCGGAGCAUGUGGUUUAAUUCGAAGCAACGCUGAAGAA